Molecule: non-coding RNA, 231 nt
Organism: Thiorhodococcus drewsii AZ1
Lineage: Bacteria; Pseudomonadati; Pseudomonadota; Gammaproteobacteria; Chromatiales; Chromatiaceae
Source: Rfam
GUCAACUACCCCGCCCUGAAGGGCGGAGCGUGUGAAGAGCCAGGUUGACCAGGGAAAGCGGUACCCAACCCGCUCCGUUUACAACACGUCGUUAAGACCCACCGGCGAAUGCUUCCUCAGUUCGCCGCUCUGGAAGGUCGGGAUCAUGCUGGCGAAAGGCAAAGCGCCGAAGGUUCUGAUCGCUGCUGCGAGGCAGGAGCGGGUUGUAGACAUUCCCGAGGGGAGCGAGCC